RNAcentral lists this transfer RNA (72 nucleotides) under Spirochaetaceae bacterium. Its description in RNAcentral is "tRNA-Pro". It matches the Rfam family "tRNA". From Rfam's summary of the family: Transfer RNA (tRNA) molecules are approximately 80 nucleotides in length. Their secondary structure includes four short double-helical elements and three loops (D, anti-codon, and T loops). Further hydrogen bonds mediate the characteristic L-shaped molecular structure. tRNAs have two regions of fundamental functional importance: the anti-codon, which is responsible for specific mRNA codon recognition, and the 3' end, to which the tRNAs corresponding amino acid is attached (by aminoacyl-tRNA synthetases). tRNAs cope with the degeneracy of the genetic code in two manners: having more than one tRNA (with a specific anti-codon) for a particular amino acid; and 'wobble' base-pairing, i.e. permitting non-standard base-pairing at the 3rd anti-codon position. RNAcentral also lists the same sequence under 1 other name. Lineage: Bacteria; Pseudomonadati; Spirochaetota; Spirochaetia; Spirochaetales; Spirochaetaceae. The record is from RNAcentral.
CGGGUAGUAGCGCAGGGGGAGCGCGCUUGGUUCGGGACCAAGAGGCCGCGGGUUCAAAUCCCGCCUGCCCGA